UAUUAUUUAAAAUAUAAUUAUAAAUACUUAAGUAGUAGUAGUUAUGUUCUUGAAACUUAAAAAAUUUGGCGGUAUUUUAGUCUAUCCAGAGGAACCUGUUUUGUAAUCGAUAAUCCACGAUGGACCUUACUUAAGUUUGUAAUCAGUUUAUAUACCGUCGUUAUCAGAAUAUUUUAUAAGAAUAAAAAUAUUCAAUAAUUUAUAUUAAAAUUUAUAUCAGAUCAAGGUGUAGCUUAUAUUUAAGUAAUAAUGGGUUACAAUAAAAAUAUUUAAACGAAUAAAAUAAUGAAAAAAUUUUUGAAGGUGGAUUUGGCAGUAAAAUUAUAAAGAUUAAUAAUUUGAUUUUAGCUCUAAAAUAUGUACACAUCGCCCGUCGCUCUUAUUAUUAAGGUAAGAUAAGUCGUAACAUAGUAGAUGUACUGGAAAGUGUAUCUAGAAUGA
RNAcentral lists this ribosomal RNA (441 nucleotides) under Drosophila albomicans. RNAcentral describes it as "partial 12S ribosomal RNA". The record is from RNAcentral. RNAcentral also lists the same sequence under 1 other name. Lineage: Eukaryota; Metazoa; Arthropoda; Insecta; Diptera; Drosophilidae.